This 253-nucleotide ribosomal RNA is filed under the name uncultured bacterium. Its description in RNAcentral is "partial 16S ribosomal RNA". It matches the Rfam family "Bacterial small subunit ribosomal RNA", at positions 524 to 776 of the family's 1533-position model. The record is from RNAcentral.
UACGUAGGUGGCAAGCGUUGUCCGGAUUUACUGGGCGUAAAGAGCGCGCAGGCGGCCGUUCAAGUCGCGUGUGAAAGCCCCCGGCUCAACUGGGGAGGGUCACGCGAUACUGAUCGACUCGAAGGCAGGAGAGGGUGUGGAAUUCCCGGUGUAGUGGUGAAAUGCGUAGAUAUCGGGAGGAACACCAGUGGCGAAGGCGACUACCUGGCCUGUUUCUUGACGCUGAGGCGCGAAAGCUAGGGGAGCAAACGGG